This 1163-nucleotide ribosomal RNA is filed under the name Spirirestis rafaelensis CM1-HA08. RNAcentral's name for it is "bacterial SSU rRNA". It matches the Rfam family "Bacterial small subunit ribosomal RNA", at positions 356 to 1531 of the family's 1533-position model. The record is from RNAcentral. Lineage: Bacteria; Bacillati; Cyanobacteriota; Cyanophyceae; Nostocales; Tolypothrichaceae.
GGGGAAUUUUCCGCAAUGGGCGAAAGCCUGACGGAGCAAUACCGCGUGAGGGAGGAAGGCUCUUGGGUUGUAAACCUCUUUUCUCAAGGAAGAAAAAAAUGACGGUACUUGAGGAAUAAGCAUCGGCUAACUCCGUGCCAGCAGCCGCGGUAAUACGGAGGAUGCAAGCGUUAUCCGGAAUGAUUGGGCGUAAAGCGUCCGCAGGUGGCUAUGUAAGUCUGCUGUUAAAGAGUCUGGCUCAACCAGAUAAAGGCAGUGGAAACUACAUGGCUAGAGUGCGUUCGGGGCAGAGGGAAUUCCUGGUGUAGCGGUGAAAUGCGUAGAGAUCAGGAAGAACACCGGUGGCGAAAGCGCUCUGCUAGGCCGCAACUGACACUGAGGGACGAAAGCUAGGGGAGCGAAUGGGAUUAGAUACCCCAGUAGUCCUAGCCGUAAACGAUGGAUACUAGGCGUGGCUUGUAUCGACCCGAGCCGUGCCGUAGCUAACGCGUUAAGUAUCCCGCCUGGGGAGUACGCAGGCAACUGUGAAACUCAAAGGAAUUGACGGGGGCCCGCACAAGCGGUGGAGUAUGUGGUUUAAUUCGAUGCAACGCGAAGAACCUUACCAGGACUUGACAUGUCGCGAAUUUCUGUGAAAGCAGAAAGUGCCUUCGGGAGCGCGAACACAGGUGGUGCAUGGCUGUCGUCAGCUCGUGUCGUGAGAUGUUGGGUUAAGUCCCGCAACGAGCGCAACCCUCGUUUUUAGUUGCCAGCAUUAAGUUGGGCACUCUAGAGAGACUGCCGGUGACAAACCGGAGGAAGGUGGGGAUGACGUCAAGUCAGCAUGCCCCUUACGUUCUGGGCUACACACGUACUACAAUGCUACGGACAAAGGGGCAGCAAGCAUGCGAAUGCAAGCUAAUCUCAUAAACCGUGGCUCAGUUCAGAUCGCAGGCUGCAACUCGCCUGCGUGAAGGAGGAAUCGCUAGUAAUUGCAGGUCAGCAUACUGCAGUGAAUUCGUUCCCGGGCCUUGUACACACCGCCCGUCACACCAUGGAAGCUGGUAGUGCCCGAAGUCAUUACCCCAACCGCUUGCGGAGGGGGAUGCCUAAGGCAGGACUGGUGACUGGGGUGAAGUCGUAACAAGGUAGCCGUACCGGAAGGUGUGGCUGGAUCACCUCCU